CCUACGGGUGGCAGCAGUGAGGAAUAUUGGUCAAUGGGCGGGAGCCUGAACCAGCCAAGUCGCGUGAGGGAAGACGGUCCUACGGAUUGUAAACCUCUUUUGCCGGGGAGCAACGGGGUCCUUGCGAGGGCCCAAUGAGAGUACCCGGAGACAAAGCAUCGGCUAACUCCGUCCCAGCAGCCGCGGUAAGACGGAGGAUGCGAGCGUUAUCCGGAUUUAUUGGGUUUAAAGGGUGCGUAGGCGGGCGGUUAAGUCAGCGGUAAAAUGUCGUGGCUCAACCCCGGUCCGCCGUGGAAACUGGCGGCCUUGAGUGGGCGAGAGGUAUGCGGAAUGCGUGGUGUAGCGGUGAAAUGCAUAGAUAUCACGCAGAACUCCGAUUGCGAAGGCAGCAUACCGGCGCCCUACUGACGCUGAGGCACGAAAGCGUGGGUAUCGAACAGGAUUAGAUACCCUUGUAGUC
RNAcentral lists this ribosomal RNA (460 nucleotides) under uncultured bacterium. RNAcentral's name for it is "partial 16S ribosomal RNA". It matches the Rfam family "Bacterial small subunit ribosomal RNA", at positions 338 to 795 of the family's 1533-position model. The record is from RNAcentral.